RNAcentral lists this ribosomal RNA (762 nucleotides) under uncultured Peptostreptococcus sp. Its description in RNAcentral is "bacterial SSU rRNA". It matches the Rfam family "Bacterial small subunit ribosomal RNA", at positions 28 to 776 of the family's 1533-position model. Lineage: Bacteria; Bacillati; Bacillota; Clostridia; Peptostreptococcales; Peptostreptococcaceae. The record is from RNAcentral.
GAUGAACGCUGGCGGCGUGCCUAACACAUGCAAGUCGAGCGAGGGUUUGCUCAGUAUUGAGUAUUCUAAGACUAGAAUGUUCAAUUCUGAGCAAAAUCAAGCGGCGGACGGGUGAGUAACGCGUGGGUAACCUGCCCUAUACACAUGGAUAACAUACUGAAAAGUUUACUAAUACAUGAUAAUAUAUAUUUGUGGCAUCGCAGAUAUAUCAAAGUGUUAGCGGUAUAGGAUGGACCCGCGUCCGAUUAGCUAGUUGGUGAGAUAACUGCCCACCAAGGCGACGAUCAGUAGCCGACCUGAGAGGGUGAUCGGCCACAUUGGAACUGAGACACGGUCCAAACUCCUACGGGAGGCAGCAGUGGGGAAUAUUGCACAAUGGGCGAAAGCCUGAUGCAGCAACGCCGCGUGAACGAUGAAGGUCUUCGGAUCGUAAAGUUCUGUUGCAGGGGAAGAUAAUGACGGUACCCUGUGAGGAAGCCCCGGCUAACUACGUGCCAGCAGCCGCGGUAAUACGUAGGGGGCUAGCGCUAUCCGGAUUUACUGGGCGUAAAGGGUGCGUAGGUGGUCCUUCAAGUCGGUGGUUAAAGGCUACGGCUCAACCGUAGUAAGCCGCCGAAACUGGAGGACUUGAGUGCAGGAGAGGAAAGUGGAAUUCCCAGUGUAGCGGUGAAAUGCGUAGAUAUUGGGAGGAACACCAGUAGCGAAGGCGGCUUUCUGGACUGCAACUGACACUGAGGCACGAAAGCGUGGGUAGCAAACAGG